RNAcentral lists this ribosomal RNA (501 nucleotides) under uncultured bacterium. RNAcentral describes it as "partial 16S ribosomal RNA". It matches the Rfam family "Bacterial small subunit ribosomal RNA", at positions 28 to 523 of the family's 1533-position model. The record is from RNAcentral.
GAUGAACGCUAGCGGCAGGCCUAACACAUGCAAGUCGAGGGGCAGCACAGAAACAGCAAUGUUUUGGUGGCGACCGGCGGACGGGUGCGUAACGCGUAUGCAACCUACCUUUAACAGGGGGAUAACGGAGAGAAAUUUCCACUAAUACCCCAUAACAUCGAUCAAGGCAUCUUGAUUGGUUGAAAACUCCGGUGGUUAAAGAUGGGCAUGCGUUGUAUUAGGUAGUUGUUGGGGUAAUGGCUCACCAAGCCUACGAUACAUAGGGGGACUGAGAGGUUAGCCCCCCACACUGGUACUGAGACACGGACCAGACUCCUACGGGAGGCAGCAGUGAGGAAUAUUGGUCAAUGGGGCAACCCUGAACCAGCCAUGCCGCGUGCAGGAAGACGGCUCUAUGAGUUGUAAACUGCUUUUAAACAGGGAUAAAGCACAGUAUGUAUACUGUGUUGAAGGUACUGUAAGAAUAAGGAUCGGCUAACUCCGUGCCAGCCGCCGCCGUAA